This 274-nucleotide ribosomal RNA is filed under the name uncultured bacterium. RNAcentral describes it as "partial 16S ribosomal RNA". It matches the Rfam family "Bacterial small subunit ribosomal RNA", at positions 523 to 796 of the family's 1533-position model. The record is from RNAcentral.
AUACGGAGGGUGCGAGCGUUGUUCGGAAUAACUGGGCGUAAAGGGCGCGUAGGCGGCUGUGCAAGUCCAAUGUGAAAGUCCGGAGCUCAACUCUGGGAUUGCGUUGGAAACUGUGCGGCUUGAGUCCCGGAGGGGAUGGCGGAAUUCCCGGUGUAGAGGUGAAAUUCGUAGAUAUCGGGAGGAACACCGGUGGCGAAGGCGGCCAUCUGGACGGGUACUGACGCUGAUGCGCGAAAGCGUGGGUAGCAAACAGGAUUAGAUACCCCAGUAGUCC